GACGAACGCUGGCGGCGUGCUUAACACAUGCAAGUCGAACGGAAAGGCCCUGCUUUUGUGGGGUGCUCGAGUGGCGAACGGGUGAGUAACACGUGAGUAACCUGCCCUUGACUUUGGGAUAACUUCAGUAAACUGGGGCUAAUACCGGAUAGGAGCUCCUGCUGCAUGGUGGGGGUGGGAAAGUUUCGGCGGUUGGGGAUGGACUCGCGGCUUAUCAGCUUGUUGGUGGGGUAGUGGAGUACCAAGGCUUUGACGGGUAGCCAGCCUGAGAGGGUGACAGGCCACAUUGGGACUGAGAUACGGCCCAGACUCCUACGGGAGGCAGCAGUGGGGAAUAUUGCACACUGGGCGGAAGCCUGAUGCAGCAACGCCGCGUGCGGGAUGACGGCCUUCGGGUUGUAAACCGCUUUCGCCUGUGACGCAGCGUGAGUGACGGUAAUGGGUAAAGAAGCACCGGCUAACUACGUG
RNAcentral lists this ribosomal RNA (468 nucleotides) under uncultured bacterium. Its description in RNAcentral is "partial 16S ribosomal RNA". It matches the Rfam family "Bacterial small subunit ribosomal RNA", at positions 28 to 507 of the family's 1533-position model. The record is from RNAcentral.